RNAcentral lists this ribosomal RNA (249 nucleotides) under uncultured Gemmataceae bacterium. RNAcentral's name for it is "partial 16S ribosomal RNA". It matches the Rfam family "Bacterial small subunit ribosomal RNA", at positions 355 to 614 of the family's 1533-position model. Lineage: Bacteria; Pseudomonadati; Planctomycetota; Planctomycetia; Gemmatales; Gemmataceae. The record is from RNAcentral.
UCGAGGAUCUUUGGCAAUGGACGCAAGUCUGACCAAGCGACGCCGCGUGUGCGAUGAAGGCCUUCGGGUUGUAAAGCACUGUCGAGGGGGAGGAAGCCGCAAGGUUGACCUAUCCCUGGAGGAAGCACGGGCUAAGUUCGUGCCAGCAGCCGCGGUAAGACGAACCGUGCGAACGUUAUUCGGAAUCACUGGGCUUAAAGGGCGCGUAGGCGGGUGAUCAAGUCAAUGGUGAAAUCCUCCAGCUUAACU